GGAGUUAGCCGGUGCUUCUUCUGUGAGUGAUGUCCUUCCUGCCGGCUAUUAACCCGCAGGCCUUCUUCCUCACUGAAAGUGCUUUACAACCCGAAGGCCUUCUUCACACACGCGGCAUGGCUGGAUCAGGGUUGCCCCCAUUGUCCAAUAUUCCCCACUGCUGCCUCCCGUAGGAGUCUGGGCCGUGUCUCAGUCCCAGUGUGGCUGAUCAUCCUCUCAGACCAGCUACGGAUCGUCGCCUUGGUGAGCCGUUACCUCACCAACCAGCUAAUCCGACAUAGGCUCAUCCGAUAGCGCGAGGCCCGAAGGUCCCCCGCUUUCCCCCGUAGGGCGUAUGCGGUAUUAGCCUGGGUUUCCCCAGGUUAUCCCCCACUACCGGGCAGAUUCCUAUGCAUUACUCACCCGUCCGCCGCUCGCCACCAGGGAGCAAGCUCCCCGUGCUGCCGCUCGACUUGCAUGUGUUAGGCCUGCCGCCAGCGUUCAAUCUGAGCCAGAAUCGAACCCUGACUCGAGCGGGCGUCGCGACGACGGCGACUAG
This 538-nucleotide ribosomal RNA is filed under the name uncultured bacterium. Its description in RNAcentral is "partial 16S ribosomal RNA". The record is from RNAcentral.